AUGUGCCCGAACACGGAGCAGCGCGUCAGGGACACGCGUGUCAUUGCGUGUGACCGUGUGUGUAUGUGUGUGUGUGUGUGUGUGUGUGCCCUGAGACGGGGGAGAGCGGCGGGGACACGCGUGUCAUUGCGUGUGAACACACGUGUGUGUGAGAUCCACGUGUGCCCGGACAUGGGGCAGCACGUCAGGCACACGCGUGUCAUUGCGUGUGUGUGCAAUGUGUGCAUGGGUGUGACCCAUGUGUCCCCACACAUCCCAUGUCCCCAUGUGCGUGUCCCCACACAUCACCCCAUGUCCCCCCACGUCCCCAUGUCUGUCCCCAUGUGUCCCCACACAUUCCAUGUCCCCACACGUUCCCCCACAUCCCCAGCUGUGUCCCCAUGUGUCCCCACACAUCCCAUGGCCCCACACGUCCCCAUGUGUCCCCUUGUGUCUGUCCCCACGUGUCCCCACACAUCCCAUGUCCCCACGUGUCCCCUCCCAGCCCCACAUGUCCCCACGUGCCCCCAUGUCUGUGUCUGUGUCCCCACACAUCCCAUGUGUCCCCACGUGUCCCCACACAUCCCAUGGCCCCAGAUGUCCCGAUGUGUGUCCCAUGUGUCCGUCCCCAUGUCCGUCCCCAUGUCUGGCCCCACACAUCCCAUGUCCCCAUGUCCCCACGUGUGUCCCCACAGAUCCCACGUCCCCACCUGUCCCCUCCCAGCCCCACAUGUCCCCACGUGUCCCCAUGUCUGUGUCCCCAUGUCUGUCCCCACACAUCCCAUGUCCCCACGUGUCCCCUCCCAGCCCCACACAUCCCCACAUGUCCCCAUGCCUGUCCCCACACAGCCCCCCACAUCCCCACGUGUCCCCACAUCCCAUGGCCCCAGAUGUCCCCAUGUGUGUCCCAUGUGUCCGGCCCCAUGUCCGUCCCCAUGUCUGGCCCCACACAUCCCAUGUCCCCAUGUCCCCACGUGUGUCCCCACAGAUCCCAUGUCCGUCCCCACACAUCCCACGUCCCCACGUCUGUCCCCUCACAGCCCCACGUCCCCAUGCCUGUGUCCCCAUGUCUGUCCCCGCACGGUCACGUGUCCCC
This 1075-nucleotide long non-coding RNA is filed under the name Numida meleagris (helmeted guineafowl). RNAcentral describes it as "lncRNA (ENSNMEG00000002566.1)". The record is from RNAcentral. Lineage: Eukaryota; Metazoa; Chordata; Aves; Galliformes; Numididae.